AGAGGGAGAGAGAGAGAGAGAGAGAGAGAGAGAGAGAGAGAGAGAGAGAAAUGUAUGAACACAGGAGUGUCAAACAUAUUUUUAAACUGAUGGUCUCAGCUGCAUCAGUUCUCAUUUUAGUGACUCUGUUUCUCUCCCCAGGUCACCCUGAGUGCAUUGAAGCGCUUGUUCACUGCAGAGCAGAUGUGGAUCAGGAUAUUGACUCAUUAGGGUCUCCUCUUCAUGCAAUCAGCAACUGAGCUCAGUGAAGAAACCAACUUCAGCUCGGUGCCGAUGCUAACAAGAGCACUUCUGGUGACUCUCCCCUGCACAUCGCUGCACGUCUGUCCAGCCCUGAGUUGGUUUCUGCCCUCCUCCACUACGGAGCGGACCGGCUCCUGGUGAACUCGGAGGGCAAGCGGCGUCUGGACCUGGUUCCUCCUGACAGCCCAGUGGGGCGACUGCUGAGAGAGACAGGAGGUAUUCAGUUCACAGUUACAGAGUGAGCUAAGAGAGAUGGGUGGGCAUCCAACGCUCUUUGUACUGGGAUGCUGGGACUGUAAGCACACAAUCAAACCCUCUCUCUCUGAUGACCCCGGCAGUGUCUCCUUUAAAGCAGCUGUGCCGGGCUACGCAUCAGGAAAACUGUGGGGAAGCAGAGGCUGGGUGGGAUUCCUGAACCUUCACCUCCCCACAAAGCUGAUGCCGUAUCUGCUCUUCCAAUCAGAGCAGAGGGAUGCUCACAAACACUGAAAUCACUUCCAUCUUUCAACCCCAAACUCUGAGCACUUUCACAUUCAGGCCAGCAGGGGGAGAACUUGCACAACCUGGCAGGAUAAUUCCACUAGGAGAGCUUCAAGAUGAGUGUGAGCUGAUUUAUUAUGCAAAUAAAGAAACUUCUUGUUGGAAGAUGCUUUUAUAAAAUAUUCAUUAGCAAUAACACAUAUCAAAUGAAAAUAAAAUCAAAGCACACAGAUCUCUGAAAGACUAACUUUAACACAACAUAUGAAUCCUCAUUAAUGUUGCAUUUAUUUCCAGGUUGUAAAUAAAACCUGGGCUUUAUAGACGUAUUAAAAAACACGAGACAAAUGUUUCUAUUAAUUCAUUUUCCAGCUAAAAAAAAAAAAAAAAUCUAACAGUUAAACCAGAAUACACAGAAUACCUUAAAUAAAAGUUGCCAUGUCUCAGAUGGUUUCAUCUGGGUUGGAGAAAACAUGUAUUUAAAAUCUUUAAUAUUUUAUUUAUUGGCAUUGCUGCUUGAAUUGAACUACUUGAAAGCAAUGCUUCCAAUUCUGUUCUCUAUUAAUUUGUAGUGCUUGUUUCCAAUGUGUUUUUUUUCUUCUUCAUUUCAACCAUUAAUAAGAUAUGACUUGUUUUGCAAAGUGUCUCAAGAUGACAUUUGUUGUGAAUUGGCAUUAUGCAAAUAAACUGAAUUGAAAUUUCAUCUACUGCUGAU
Molecule: long non-coding RNA, 1435 nt
Organism: Poecilia latipinna (sailfin molly)
Lineage: Eukaryota; Metazoa; Chordata; Actinopteri; Cyprinodontiformes; Poeciliidae
Exons: 2
Source: RefSeq, a predicted model, not a curated record